This 836-nucleotide ribosomal RNA is filed under the name uncultured bacterium. RNAcentral's name for it is "bacterial SSU rRNA". It matches the Rfam family "Bacterial small subunit ribosomal RNA", at positions 64 to 890 of the family's 1533-position model. The record is from RNAcentral.
GAGGGGAAACGACAUCGAAAGCUUGCUUUUGAUGGGCGUCGACCGGCGCACGGGUGAGUAACGCGUAUCCAACCUGCCCACCACUUGGGGAUAACCUUGCGAAAGUAAGACUAAUACCCAAUGACGUCUCUAGAAGACAUCUGAAAGAGAUUAAAGAUUUAUCGGUGAUGGAUGGGGAUGCGUCUGAUUAGCUUGUUGGCGGGGUAACGGCCCACCAAGGCAACGAUCAGUAGGGGUUCUGAGAGGAAGGUCCCCCACAUUGGAACUGAGACACGGUCCAAACUCCUACGGGAGGCAGCAGUGAGGAAUAUUGGUCAAUGGACGAGAGUCUGAACCAGCCAAGUAGCGUGCAGGAUGACGGCCCUAUGGGUUGUAAACUGCUUUUAUAAGGGAAUAAGGUGAGUCUCGUGAGACUUUUUGCAUGUACCUUAUGAAUAAGGACCGGCUAAUUCCGUGCCAGCAGCCGCGGUAAUACGGAAGGUCCGGGCGUUAUCCGGAUUUAUUGGGUUUAAAGGGAGCGUAGGCCGGAGAUUAAGCGUGUUGUGAAAUGUAGACGCUCAACGUCUGCACUGCAGCGCGAACUGGUUUCCUUGAGUACACACAAAGUGGGCGGAAUUCGUGGUGUAGCGGUGAAAUGCUUAGAUAUCACGAAGAACUCCGAUUGCGAAGGCAGCUCACUGGAGCGCAACUGACGCUGAAGCUCGAAAGUGCGGGUAUCGAACAGGAUUAGGUACCCUGGUAGUCCGCACGGUAAACGAUGGAUGCCCGCUGUUGGUCUGAAUAGGUCAGCGGCCAAGCGAAAGCAUUAAGCAUCCCACCUGGGGAGUACGCCGGCA